AGUGAACGCUGGCGGUAGGCCUAACACAUGCAAGUCGAACGGCAGCACAGUAAGAGCUUGCUCUUACGGGUGGCGAGUGGCGGACGGGUGAGGAAUACAUCGGAAUCUACUUUUUCGUGGGGGGUAACGUAGGGAAACUUACGCUAAUACCGCAUACGACCUACGGGUGAAAGCAGGGGAUCUUCGGACCUUGCGCGAUUGAAUGAGCCGAUGUCGGAUUAGCUAGUUGGCGGGGUAAAGGCCCACCAAGGCGACGAUCCGUAGCUGGUCUGAGAGGAUGAUCAGCCACACUGGAACUGAGACACGGUCCAGACUCCUACGGGGGGCAGCAGUGGGGAAUAUUGGACAAUGGGCGCAAGCCUGAUCCAGCCAUACCGCGUGGGUGAAGAAGGCCUUCGGGUUGUAAAGCCCUUUUGUUGGGAAAGAAAAGCAGCAGGUUAAUACCCCGCUGUUCUGACGGUACCCAAAGAAUAAGCACCGGCUAACUUCGUG
RNAcentral lists this ribosomal RNA (492 nucleotides) under uncultured bacterium. RNAcentral's name for it is "partial 16S ribosomal RNA". It matches the Rfam family "Bacterial small subunit ribosomal RNA", at positions 29 to 507 of the family's 1533-position model. The record is from RNAcentral.